AUGUUUGAUUAUGUUGUUUCUUGUAUCCUGUGUAUAAAAUAAUAAUCUUCUUAUUCUUUACUUUAUCGUGAGCAAUCCGCCAGUCAACAUGUGCUGUUGGAAAAUUCUGCUGUUAGCUUUGCUUAUAUCUAAUGUCUCCUGUCUAAUGGAUAUAAAGGCCAAAGAUGGUACCAAGGUUAAUGCUUUUAUGGCGGAUGAAAAAAUCUGGAAGGAAGAGUAACCGGUGCAAGUAGGAAGGUCAUGCAUAAGUGUUAAAGAGUGUGAUGGGUUUUCCAAAUCGGACUUAGGACCGGCCUGUAGGAUUCCCUACUGUUCAAGCAGCAACCAAUGCGAAUGUGUUUUUUAAACGAUAGGGAUCUCCAUCUUCAUCUAUGUCGUAGAUUUCUUUAAAUGUCAAAAAGAUAUAGUCUUUCAAACACUUGAUGCAAAAUUUAUACGCAAAAUUUUUUUGUUUUAAUCUGAAUAAAAAAAACCCAAUAAGA
This is a long non-coding RNA of Magallana angulata, 482 nucleotides long. RefSeq lists it as uncharacterized. The record is from RefSeq and is a predicted model, not a curated record. The transcript has 3 exons. NCBI's taxonomy places the organism in Eukaryota, Metazoa, Mollusca, Bivalvia, Ostreida, Ostreidae.